Molecule: transfer RNA, 73 nt
Filed under: Candidatus Woesearchaeota archaeon CG08_land_8_20_14_0_20_43_7
Lineage: Archaea; Nanobdellati; Candidatus Woesearchaeota
Also listed under: 1 other name
Description: tRNA-Val
Rfam family: tRNA
About the family: Transfer RNA (tRNA) molecules are approximately 80 nucleotides in length. Their secondary structure includes four short double-helical elements and three loops (D, anti-codon, and T loops).
Source: RNAcentral
GGGCUUGUGGUCUAGCGGCUAUGACCCCUCCCUUACACGGAGGUGAUCGCCGGUUCGAUUCCGGCCGGGCCCA